AGAGUUUGAUCCUGGCUCAGGACGAACGCUGGCGGCGUGCCUAAUACAUGCAAGUAGAACGCUGAAGAGAGGAGCUUGCUCUUCUUGGAUGAGUUGCGAACGGGUGAGUAACGCGUAGGUAACCUGCCUUGUAGCGGGGGAUAACUAUUGGAAACGAUAGCUAAUACCGCAUAACAAUGGAUGACCCAUGUCAUUUAUUUGAAAGGGGCAAAUGCUCCACUACAAGAUGGACCUGCGUUGUAUUAGCUAGUAGGUGAGGUAACGGCUCACCUAGGCGACGAUACAUAGCCGACCUGAGAGGGUGAUCGGCCACAUUGGGACUGAGACACGGCCCAGACUCCUACGGGAGGCAGCAGUAGGGAAUCUUCGGCAAUGGGGGCAACCCUGACCGAGCAACGCCGCGUGAGUGAAGAAGGUUUUCGGAUCGUAAAGCUCUGUUGUAAGUCAAGAACGAGUGUGAGAGUGGAAAGUUCACACUGUGACGGUAGCUUACCAGAAAGGGACGGCUAACUACGUGCCAGCAGCCGCGGUAAUACGUAGGUCCCGAGCGUUGUCCGGAUUUAUUGGGCGUAAAGCGAGCGCAGGCGGUUUGAUAAGUCUGAAGUUAAAGGCUGUGGCUCAACCAUAGUUCGCUUUGGAAACUGUCAAACUUGAGUGCAGAAGGGGAGAGUGGAAUUCCAUGUGUAGCGGUGAAAUGCGUAGAUAUAUGGAGGAACACCGGUGGCGAAAGCGGCUCUCUGGUCUGUAACUGACGCUGAGGCUCGAAAGCGUGGGGAGCGAACAGGAUUAGAUACCCUGGUAGUCCACGCCGUAAACGAUGAGUGCUAGGUGUUGGAUCCUUUCCGGGAUUCAGUGCCGCAGCUAACGCAUUAAGCACUCCGCCUGGGGAGUACGACCGCAAGGUUGAAACUCAAAGGAAUUGACGGGGGCCCGCACAAGCGGUGGAGCAUGUGGUUUAAUUCGAAGCAACGCGAAGAACCUUACCAGGUCUUGACAUCCCGAUGCUAUUUCUAGAGAUAGAAAGUUACUUCGGUACAUCGGUGACAGGUGGUGCAUGGUUGUCGUCAGCUCGUGUCGUGAGAUGUUGGGUUAAGUCCCGCAACGAGCGCAACCCCUAUUGUUAGUUGCCAUCAUUCAGUUGGGCACUCUAGCGAGACUGCCGGUAAUAAACCGGAGGAAGGUGGGGAUGACGUCAAAUCAUCAUGCCCCUUAUGACCUGGGCUACACACGUGCUACAAUGGUUGGUACAACGAGUUGCGAGUCGGUGACGGCAAGCUAAUCUCUUAAAGCCAAUCUCAGUUCGGAUUGUAGGCUGCAACUCGCCUACAUGAAGUCGGAAUCGCUAGUAAUCGCGGAUCAGCACGCCGCGGUGAAUACGUUCCCGGGCCUUGUACACACCGCCCGUCACACCACGAGAGUUUGUAACACCCGAAGUCGGUGAGGUAACCUUUUGGAGCCAGCCGCCUAAGGUGGGAUAGAUGAUUGGGGUGAAGUCGAAACAAGGUA
RNAcentral lists this ribosomal RNA (1506 nucleotides) under metagenome. Its description in RNAcentral is "bacterial SSU rRNA". It matches the Rfam family "Bacterial small subunit ribosomal RNA". The record is from RNAcentral.